CCUACGGGAGGCAGCAGUGAGGAAUAUUGGUCAAUGGACGAGAGUCUGAACCAGCCAAGUAGCGUGAAGGAUGACUGCCCUAUGGGUUGUAAACUUCUUUUAUAUAGGAAUAAAACGAGGCAUGCGUACCUUUUUGCAUGUACUUUAUGAAUAAGGAUCGGCUAACUCCGUGCCAGCAGCCGCGGUAAUACGGAGGAUCCGAGCGUUAUCCGGAUUUAUUGGGUUUAAAGGGAGCGUAGAUGGGUUGUUAAGUCAGUUGUGAAAGUUUGCGGCUCAACCGUAAAAUUGCAAUUGAUACUGGCAGUCUUGAGUACAGUUGAGGUGGGCGGAAUUCGUGGUGUAGCGGUGAAAUGCUUAGAUAUCACGAAGAACCCCGAUUGCGAAGGCAGCUCACUAAACUGUGACUGACAUUGAUGCUCGAAAGUGUGGGUAUCAAACAGGAUUAGAUACCCCAGUAGUC
Molecule: ribosomal RNA, 460 nt
Filed under: uncultured bacterium
Lineage: Bacteria
Description: partial 16S ribosomal RNA
Rfam family: Bacterial small subunit ribosomal RNA
Source: RNAcentral